RNAcentral lists this ribosomal RNA (363 nucleotides) under Speleonectes gironensis. RNAcentral's name for it is "bacterial SSU rRNA". It matches the Rfam family "Eukaryotic small subunit ribosomal RNA", at positions 1450 to 1804 of the family's 1831-position model. Lineage: Eukaryota; Metazoa; Arthropoda; Remipedia; Nectiopoda; Speleonectidae. The record is from RNAcentral.
GCAAUAACAGGUCUGUGAUGCCCUUAGAUGCCCUGGGCCACAUGCAUGCCACAAUGUUGGCAUCAGUGGUCUGGCACUGGACUCUCUCUGAGAGGAGUGGGGAACACCCCAAACAUCAUCAUGGUAGGGAGUGGGGCUUGCAAUGAUUCCCGUGAACUGGGAAUGCCCCAUAGGGGCCGAUCACCAUUUGGCCCCAAAUGAGUCCCUGCCCUUUGUACACACCACCCGUUGCUACUGCCGAUGGCUGGGUGGGUGAGGGGGCUGGACCAUGAGCCAGAUGCCGAUGCUGGUUGGAUGAGACAGAGCAUGGGAAGGUGUCCGAAUCUGCUGGCUAGAGGAAGUAAAAGUCGUAACAAGGUUUCU